GGUGGGUAGCUCAGUAGAAGAGUGCUCAUCUAGCAUGUGAAAGGCCCAGGGUUCAAUUCCUUGCACUACCA
Molecule: transfer RNA, 71 nt
Filed under: Ictidomys tridecemlineatus (thirteen-lined ground squirrel)
Lineage: Eukaryota; Metazoa; Chordata; Mammalia; Rodentia; Sciuridae
Description: Spermophilus tridecemlineatus (thirteen-lined ground squirrel) tRNA
Rfam family: tRNA
About the family: Transfer RNA (tRNA) molecules are approximately 80 nucleotides in length. Their secondary structure includes four short double-helical elements and three loops (D, anti-codon, and T loops).
Source: Rfam by way of RNAcentral